RNAcentral lists this ribosomal RNA (497 nucleotides) under uncultured bacterium. RNAcentral's name for it is "partial 16S ribosomal RNA". It matches the Rfam family "Bacterial small subunit ribosomal RNA", at positions 28 to 507 of the family's 1533-position model. The record is from RNAcentral.
GACGAACGCUGGCGGCGUGCCUAAUACAUGCAAGUAGAACGCUGAAGCGAGGAGCUUGCUCUUCUUGGAUGAGUUGCGAACGGGUGAGUAACGCGUAGGUAACCUGCCUGUUAGCGGGGGAUAACUAUUGGAAACGAUAGCUAAUACCGCAUAAAAUUGAUUAUUGCAUGAUUCUUAAUUGAAAGAUGCAACUGCAUCACUACCAGAUGGACCUGCGUUGUAUUAGCUAGUUGGUGAGGUAACGGCUCAACAAGGCGACGAUACAUAGCCGACCUGAGAGGGUGAAUCGCCAAACUGGGAAUGAGACAAGGCCCAGAAUCCUAAGGGAGGGCGCAGUAGGGAAACCUCGGCAAUGGGGGGAAACCUGAACGAACAACGCCGCGUGAGUGAAGAAGGUUUUCGGAUCGUAAAGCUCUGUUGUAAGAGAAGAACGGGUGUGAGAGUGGAAAGUUCACACUGUGACGGUAUCUUAUCAGAAAGCGACGGCUAACUACGUG